Fukomys damarensis (Damara mole-rat) is the source of this 628-nucleotide long non-coding RNA. RefSeq lists it as uncharacterized. The record is from RefSeq and is a predicted model, not a curated record. Lineage: Eukaryota; Metazoa; Chordata; Mammalia; Rodentia; Bathyergidae. The transcript has 3 exons.
GCUCCCUAGCGCCGCCGUCCAGUCUCCCGCUGGUUCCCGGGGAAGCCUCAGCCAACUGCGGCUGCCGCCCGAGCAGGGCUCAGGAAGGCGGGUGAAGCCGGCAAAGUGGGGCAGAUGCAACCAUUUCUGCCAGACCAUAAAUAUCCCGGGACGAGGAGGCGCUACGAAUUCCGUGCUCGGGCGGACCAACUGCCGGGGCCUGUAGCUCCCCACAGGAGCGGCGACGCCGGCCGCGGCUCUUCCCGGCAGAGGCCUAGAGGCGGCUACGACGCCCCUCCCCCAAGCGGACGCCGGGAGGCCACGGGAACUUUCUAUUAACAAGGAAACAAUGUCUGCUUCACUAUUUCUAAGGAUUCUUUGUGAUUCCUUGAGACUAUGUCUGGUUCUCCUUUAAGAGUUGAAGAAGAAUGGUCCUUACCGAGCCAUCCAUAUUUCUCCUGUUCUGCAUGUUUUCCAGGGGACAGUGUGAGAAAUGGGAUGCCCAUGAAAUUAUUGUAUCUCAUUCAUGUGCCAAACUGUAUCUCCAGAUGCUCAUUGAGAAUAGAAGCAGAAGAAUCAUUACCUUCAGUGACCAGUCCAGGAAUAAACAUAAAGAAAAACUUUAUAUGCUCUCAGUUUUUUUUAUUGG